GAUCUGCCCUGCACUCUGGGAUAAGCCUGGGAACUGGGUCUAAUACCGGAUAUGACCUCCUGUCGCAUGGCGGGGGUUGGCAAAGGUUUUACUGGUGCGGAUGGGCCCCGCCUAUCAGCUUGUUUGGUGGGGUAUGGCCUCCCAGGCGACGACGGGUAGCCGCCUGAGGGCGACCGCCACACUGGACUGAGACACGGCCCAGACUCCUACGGUAGGCAGCAUUGGGGAAUAUUGCACCAAAUGGGCCGAAAGCCCUGAUGCAGCGACGCCGCGUGAGGUAUGACGGCCUUCGUGUUUGUAACCUCUUUCCACAGGGACGAAGCGAUAGUGACGGUACCUGCAGAAGAAUCACCGGCCAACUACGUGCCAGCAGCCGCGGUAAUACGUAGGGUGCGAGCGUUGUCCGAAUUACUGGGCGUAAGAGCUCGUAGGCGGUUUGUCCGCGUCGUCCGUGAAAACUGGGGCUCAACCCCAAGCUUGCGGGCGAUACGGCAGACUUGAGUACUGCAGGGAGACUGGAAUUCCUGGUGUGGCGGUGAAAUGCGCAGAUAUCAGGAGAACACCGUGGCGAAGGCGGGUCUCUGGGCAGUAACUGACGCUGGGAGCGAAAGCGUGGGUAGCGAACAGGAUUAGAUACCCUGGAGUCCACGCCGUAAACGGUGGGCGCUAGGUGUGGGUUUUCCUUCCACGGAUCCGUGCCGUAGCUAACGCAUUAAGCGCCCCGCCUGGGGAGUACGGCCGCAAGGCUAAACUCAAAGGAAUUUGACGGGGGGCCCGCACAAGCGGCGGAGCAUGUGGAUUAUUCGAUGCAACGCGAAGAACCUUACCUGGGUUUGACAUAUACCGGAAAGCCGUAGAAUACGGCCCCCCUUGUGGUCGGUAUACAGGUGGUGCAUGGCUGUCCGUCAGCUCGUGUCGUGAGAUGUUGGGUUUAAGUCCCGCAACGAGCGCAACCCUUGUCCUGUGUUGCCAGCGCGUAAUGGCGGGGACUCGCAGGAGACUGCCGGGUCAACUCGGAGGAAUGUGGGGACGACCGUCAAGUCAUCAUGCCCCUUAUGUCCAGGGCUUCACACAUGCUACAAUGGCCGGUACAGAGGGCUGCGAUACCGUGAGUGGAGCGAAUCCCUUUAAGCCGGUCUCAGUUCGGAUCGGGGUCUGCAACUCGACCCCGUGAAGUCGAGUCGCUAGUAAUCGCAGAUCAGCAACGCUGCGGUGAAUACGUUCCCGGGCCUUGUACACACCGCCCGUCACGUCAUGAAAGUCGGUAACACCCGAAGCCGGUGGCCUAACCCUUGUGGAGGGAGCCGUCGAAGGUGGGAUCGGCGAUUGGGACGAAGUCGUAACAAGGUAGCCGUACCGGAAGGUGCGGCUGGAUCACCUCCUUUCUAA
This 1389-nucleotide ribosomal RNA is filed under the name Rhodococcus (subgen. Prescottella) equi. RNAcentral describes it as "Prescottella equi bacterial SSU rRNA". It matches the Rfam family "Bacterial small subunit ribosomal RNA". Lineage: Bacteria; Bacillati; Actinomycetota; Actinomycetes; Mycobacteriales; Nocardiaceae. The record is from RNAcentral.